UACGUAGGGUCCGAGCGUUGUCCGGAAUUAUUGGGCGUAAAGGGCUCGUAGGCGGUUUGUCACGUCGGGAGUGAAAACUCAGGGCUUAACCCUGAGCGUGCUUCCGAUACGGGCUGACUAGAGGGAUGCAGGGGAGAACGAAUUCCUGGUGUAGCGGUGGAAUGCGCAGAUAUCAGGAGGAACACCGGUGGCGAAGGCGGUUCUCUGGGCAUUUCCUGACGCUGAGGAGCGAAAGCAUGGGGGAGCGAACAGG
Molecule: ribosomal RNA, 253 nt
Filed under: uncultured bacterium
Lineage: Bacteria
Description: partial 16S ribosomal RNA
Rfam family: Bacterial small subunit ribosomal RNA
Source: RNAcentral